AGUGAACGCUGGCGGUAGGCCUAACACAUGCAAGUCGAACGGCAGCACAGUAAGAGCUUGCUCUUACGGGUGGCGAGUGGCGGACGGGUGAGGAAUACAUCGGAAUCUACUUUUUCGUGGGGGAUAACGUAGGGAAACUUACGCUAAUACCGCAUACGACCUACGGGUGAAAGCAGGGGAUCUUCGGACCUUGCGCGAUUGAAUGAGCCGAUGUCGGAUUAGCUAGUUGGCGGGGUAAAGGCCCACCAAGGCGACGAUCCGUAGCUGGUCUGAGAGGAUGAUCGGCCACACUGGAACUGAGACACGGUCCAGACUCCUACGGGAGGCAGCAGUGGGGAAUAUUGGACAAUGGGCGAAAGCCUGAUCCAGCAAUACCGCGUGGGUGAAGAAGGCCUUCGGGUUGUAAAGCCCUUUUGUUGGGAAAGAAAAGCAGCAGGUUAAUACCCCGCUGUUCUGACGGUACCCAAAGAAUAAGCACCGGCUAACUUCGUG
Molecule: ribosomal RNA, 492 nt
Filed under: uncultured bacterium
Lineage: Bacteria
Description: partial 16S ribosomal RNA
Rfam family: Bacterial small subunit ribosomal RNA
Source: RNAcentral